UACGGAGGAUCCGAGCGUUAUCCGGAUUUAUUGGGUUUAAAGGGUGCGCAGGCGGGGGAUUAAGUCGGCGGUGAAAUUUUGCAGCUCAACUGUAAAAGUGCCUUCGAAACUGGUUUCCUUGAGUGUAGAUGAAGUAGGCGGAAUUUGUGGUGUAGCGGUGAAAUGCGUAGAGAUCGGGAGGAACACCAGUGGCGAAGGCGGGUAACUGGACUGCAACUGACGCUGAGGCGCGAAGGUGUGGGGAGCAAACAGGAUUAGAUACCCUGGUAGUCCCUGAG
Molecule: ribosomal RNA, 278 nt
Filed under: uncultured prokaryote
Description: partial 16S ribosomal RNA
Rfam family: Bacterial small subunit ribosomal RNA
Source: RNAcentral